UUAAUUCGAUGAUACGCGAGGAACCUUACCCGGGCUCAAACGCAUGCGGACAGCCGCGGAAACGCGGUCUCCCUCCGGGGCUGCAUGCGAGGUGCUGCAUGGUGUCGUCAGCUCGUGCCGUGAGGUGUCGGCUUAAGUGCCAUAACGAGCGCAACCCCCCAUCUUCAGUUGCCAUCGAGUUAAGUCGGGCACUCUGGAGAGACUGCCGGCGCAAGCUGUGAGGAAGGCGGGGAUGACGUCAAAUCAGCACGGCCCUUACGUCCGGGGCGACACACGUGUUACAAUGGCGGGGCACAGAAGGAAGCCAGGCCGCGAGGCCGAGCCGAUCCCGAAAACCCGUCUCAGUUCGGAUCGGAGUCUGCAACCCGACUCCGUGAAGCUGGAUUCGCUAGUAAUCGCGCAUCAGCCAUGGCGCGGUGAAUACGUUCCCGGGCCUUGUACACACCGCCCGUCAAGCCAUGGAAGCCUGGAGUGCCUGAAGUGCGUGACCGCGAGGAGCGCCCAAGGGUAAGACAGGUGACUGGGGCUAAGUCGUAACAAGGUAACCUA
This 549-nucleotide ribosomal RNA is filed under the name uncultured bacterium. RNAcentral describes it as "bacterial SSU rRNA". It matches the Rfam family "Bacterial small subunit ribosomal RNA", at positions 946 to 1503 of the family's 1533-position model. The record is from RNAcentral.